UUUUUAUUUUACAUAGCUCUGAGAUCUUGGUUUCUAGAUCAAAUUGGGAUUCUAACGGUUGUUUUUUUUAGCUUUGGACAGUAGCCAGGCUGUUAGAGGCAGCCAUGCGGUUGGCGUCUACAGUAACACCACAAGGAACACUGAUGGGGAGAUAGUAUUUGGCAGUUAGACUCUACAGGGAGAUAUCUGAGCAGCAGCUAGAGGAAUCCCCUUCAUGGAGCCCCGGCACCGGUGGUGAUGAUGGCCGAUGACUCCUCUGAGACAGAUGAUGGCUGAUGAAUCGGCGAAGCCUGGGCGGUUACAACAAAAGACAACAGCAGGAAGAAACCGAGGAACCUGUGAGCGCUGAUGAGUGACCCGCUCACACUCUAAUGAGCCAUGAAAUGUGCAGCUGCAGAUGUUGAUACAGUGAGUAUAUAGACUUUGGUUCAGAUGUUUUUACCUGUGAAUGGGUUUUCGUGAUAAAGUGGCUCCACAAUGAUUAUUAGCUUUAAUGGCUUGUUACAGAUUUCAUAAACUUAAGUAAAUGAAUACUAACAGAAA
Long non-coding RNA from Acanthopagrus latus (yellowfin seabream), 543 nucleotides. RefSeq lists it as uncharacterized. Lineage: Eukaryota; Metazoa; Chordata; Actinopteri; Spariformes; Sparidae. The record is from RefSeq and is a predicted model, not a curated record. The transcript is spliced from 3 exons.